CAAUGAGAUAUUAGCAGCUCUUAAAAAGUUACCACCAGAAACACUGCUCCAGAAGCAUAAUUUUCAUUCAAGCCAUCAAACUUAAGCUUAUUUGCUCCAUGGAAUCUAAAUUCAACUAGUACUGUCGUUCGGAACAAAUCAAAACACAACUAAAAUCAAGAGGAUACCCAAACAAACAUAUCACCAAUAAUUUGAUGGAUAUCGAAGAAAAUAUCGAAAGAUAAGACGACCCG
This 233-nucleotide long non-coding RNA is filed under the name Mytilus galloprovincialis (Mediterranean mussel). The record is from RNAcentral. Lineage: Eukaryota; Metazoa; Mollusca; Bivalvia; Mytilida; Mytilidae.